RNAcentral lists this unclassified non-coding RNA (763 nucleotides) under Hevea brasiliensis (rubber tree). Lineage: Eukaryota; Viridiplantae; Streptophyta; Magnoliopsida; Malpighiales; Euphorbiaceae. The record is from RNAcentral.
UGUGCUUGUUGCUCCAUAGCCUGUAAUCGCAGCUUCAGUUCCUUAUUUUCUGCUGUUAACCCAGUAGUGUCUCUCUGCAACAUUGUGACCUGUGCAGAGAGGGUGGUUGCUUCUGUUUGAAGUGCUGAAGUGUCUGUACCUUCCUCUCCAGCUCAUUAGUGUAUCGUACUUUCCUCUCCUUUGACCGUGCUGCAGAUUGCCUGUUAGCAAGAAUCCUCUUAGCUCUCUUGGGAUCAAUCAAAGCAAGCUCAGCAAGUCUAUCAGGACCGAUAGCUUUCUUAACGCCAUCGACCAUAACAGAAUCUAUCUCAAACGAGGUCGUACUCGACCCAUCCAUUGAAUUGCUAUGCCUAUGGUGUAACCUCUUCUCUCCGGCACCCACUCCUCCCCCCGCCGCUGCCGUCGCCGCCGCUUUCCCGCCAAAUUUCUCAUCUCCACCGCCAGUGGUACCGCCAGUGGUAAGGCCCAACCCAUCAAAGAAAUCCGAGUCCAUGGACAGGCUCCGGAGGUGGUUGAUGGGUUUGGGCUUUGUAUUUGGGCCACUGUGAGAUGCAGAGUCAUCAGAGACGGAGCCGGAAUCAACAGCCAUGGGAGCGCCGCGAGGUGGGGUAGGAGUAGGAAGGUCGAGAGAAGAAAGGUCGAGUUCAGAGGGGUCGAAGAGGAGGAGAUCGUCGAAGCGGAAGGAGGUGUCAGAAUGGGCCCGUCUGUGGUGGGACCCACGUUGCGGUGUAUCGGGCAUCUGCUCUAUGUCCAUCGUCAUCGG